GACGAACGCUGGCGGCGUGCCUAAUACAUGCAAGUCGAGCGGAUUGAUGGGAGCUUGCUCCCUGAUAUCAGCGGCGGACGGGUGAGUAACACGUGGGCAACCUGCCUAUAAGACUGGGAUAACUUCGGGAAACCGGAGCUAAUACCGGAUAAUCCCUUUCCUCUCAUGAGGAAAGGCUGAAAGAUGGUUUACGCUAUCACUUACAGAUGGGCCCGCGGCGCAUUAGCUAGUUGGUGAGGUAACGGCUCACCAAGGCAACGAUGCGUAGCCGACCUGAGAGGGUAAUCGGCCACACUGGGACUGAGACACGGCCCAGACUCCUACGGGAGGCAGCAGUAGGGAAUCUUCCGCAAUGGACGAAAGUCUGACGGAGCAACGCCGCGUGAGUGAUGAAGGUUUUCGGAUCGUAAAACUCUGUUGUUAGGGAAGAACAAGUACGAGAGUAACUACUCGUACCUUGACGGUACCUAACCAGAAAGCCACGGCUAACUACGUGCCAGCCGCCGCCGUAA
RNAcentral lists this ribosomal RNA (512 nucleotides) under uncultured bacterium. RNAcentral describes it as "partial 16S ribosomal RNA". It matches the Rfam family "Bacterial small subunit ribosomal RNA", at positions 28 to 523 of the family's 1533-position model. The record is from RNAcentral.